RNAcentral lists this ribosomal RNA (253 nucleotides) under uncultured bacterium. Its description in RNAcentral is "partial 16S ribosomal RNA". It matches the Rfam family "Bacterial small subunit ribosomal RNA", at positions 524 to 776 of the family's 1533-position model. The record is from RNAcentral.
UACGGGGGGGGCAAGCGUUGUUCGGAAUUACUGGGCGUAAAGGGCUCGUAGGCGGCCAACUAAGUCAGACGUGAAAUCCCUCAGCUUAACUGGGGAACUGCGUCUGAUACUGGAUGGCUUGGAUUUGGGAGAGGAAUGCGGAAUUCCAGGUGUAGCGGUGAAAUGCGUAGAUAUCUGGAGGAACACCGGUGGCGAAGGCGGCAUUCUGGACCAAUAUUGACGCUGAGGAACGAAAGCCAGGGGAGCAAACGGG